This 440-nucleotide ribosomal RNA is filed under the name uncultured bacterium. RNAcentral's name for it is "partial 16S ribosomal RNA". It matches the Rfam family "Bacterial small subunit ribosomal RNA", at positions 338 to 795 of the family's 1533-position model. The record is from RNAcentral.
CCUACGGGAGGCAGCAGUAGGGAAUAUUGCUCAAUGGGGGAAACCCUGAAGCAGCAACGCCGCGUGGAGGAUGAAGGUUUUCGGAUUGUAAACUCCUUUUGUUAGAGAAGAUAAUGACGGUAUCUAACGAAUAAGCACCGGCUAACUCCGUGCCAGCAGCCGCGGUAAUACGUAGGGUGCAAGCGUUACUCGGAAUCACUGGGCGUAAAGAGCGCGUAGGCGGGAUAGCAAGUCAGAUGUGAAAUCCUAUGGCUUAACCAUAGAACUGCAUUUGAAACUGUGAUUCUAGAGUAUGGGAGAGGUAGGUGGAAUUCUUGGUGUAGGGGUGAAAUGCGUAGAGAGCAAGAGGAACACUCAUGGCGAAGGCGACCUGCUAGAACAUAACUGACGCUGAUGCGCGAAAGCGUGGGGAGCAAACAGGAUUAGAUACCCGGGUAGUC